GUGGGAAGGGGGAUAGGAGGGGGAGGUUGUAGGUAGGGCGGGGAGUAGAAGGGUGGGAGGAAGAGUGUUCUCCAGACGCUCUUCUCCUCCACCUCUUCCUCUUCUCCUCCUCCUCCCCCUCUCCUCCUCUUCUCCUCCUCCUCUCCUCAUCUUUUUCUCCUCCUCCUCAUCUUCCUCUUCUCCUACUUUCCUCUUCCUUCUCCUCUCCUCCAUCCUUCUCUUUCUCUAUAUCCUUAGCUUCCUCCAUCAACACUGUCCAUUCCUCCAUCCAUUGAGCAUCUCUGGUUGUCUUCUGUGUGAUAUUCAGUAUGUACUGAUAUUGUAUAUGUAAAUAAAAAUGUAUGUAGAUGAACACACAUAUUAAUAUAUAUAUAUAUAUAUACUGUCCUGCCAGACCUACAGCACACCCAUCCCCUCUACUCCCUACUCCCUACACCCUAUUCCCUACACCCUAGCCCCGACAUCCUACACCCUAGGCCCUACACCCUACUCCUUACACCCUACACCCUAGCCCCUACACCCUACUCCUUACACCCUACUCCCUACACUGCUCCCUAGCCCCUACUCCCUGCACUGCUCCCUAGCCCCUACUCCCUACCCCGUACUCCCUACCCCCUACUCCCUACACUGCUCCCUAGCCCCUACUCCAUAGCCCCUACUCCCUAGCCCCUACUCCCUACCCCCCCUACUCCCUACCCCGUACUCCCUACACCCUACUCCCUAGCCCCUACUCCCUACCCCUACUCCCUAGCCCCUACUCCCUACCCCCUACUCCCUACCCCCUACUCCCUUUUCUCCCAGGGACCACGUCUUGUUGACAGGACGGUGUAUAGAUAUAUUUUGUUCUGGAUGUUGUAGUACCUCUGUCAAUAAUCUGAGCCGCUAACAUCUCUCACUUAAAGGGGAAGUCCAGAGCUGGUCUCUUAAAGGGGAAGUCCGGAGCUGGUCUCUUAAAGGGGAUGUCCUGCCAUUGUCACUUAAAGAGGGAGUCCAGGUGGUCACUUAUAAAGUCCAGAUGGUCAGUUAAAGGGGAAGUCCAGAGCUGGUCACUUAAAGGGGAAGUCCAGAGCUGGUCAGUUAAAGGGGAAGUCCAGAGCUGGUCAGUUAAAGGGGAAGUCCAGAGCUGGUCACUUAAAGGGGAAGUCCAGAGCUGGUCAGUUAAAGGGGAAGUCUUGUUCAGAACUGGGAUGUGUCCUAAACGGCACCCUAUUCCCUAUAUAGUGCACUACUUUAGACCAGAGCCCUAUGGAACCCUAUUCCCUAUAUAGUGUACUACUUUAGACCAGAGCCCUAUGGCACCCUAUUCCCUAUAUAGUGCACUACUUUAGACCAGGGGCCAUGGGGCUCUGAUUAAAAGUAGGUUACUAUAUAUAUAGAAUAGGGUCCCAUUUGGUAGGGAAUUCUAGUCAGGGAGAAGGAGGAGGGCCUAGAUGUAGUCUGAGAUGGUUUGAAACAUAAUGAUGAUGUCUCAGGCUGACUACAUUGCAGACGUUGCAUUACAUCAACCAAUGGUUGUGUGCCACGUCAUCGACUGCUCAGUCGGGCAUCAGAUUGUUAUAUCAUAUGAUGUGGUUAGCUGACAUGUUAAACACCUACUGUAGGACUAACAGGGUCCGGUCCCAAAUGGACCCCUGAACCCUACGCCCUAUGCCCUAAACUCUACUCCUUGUGUGGAGAUCUGAGAGGAUUUGACAGGUUAGGUGGAAGUUUCACCAUCUUUCUUAUACCAGUCAAAUCCUCUUAAACCAAUCAAAUCUUCUUAUACCAAUCAAAUCCUCUUAAACCAAUCAAAUCCUCUUAUACCAAUUAAAUCCUCUUAAACCAAUCAAAUCCUCUUUUACCAAUCAAAUUCUCUUAAACCAAUCAAAUCCUCUUAUACCAAUCAAAUCCUCUUAAACCAAUCAAAUCCUCUUAUACCAAUCAAAUCCUCUUAAACCAAUCAAAUCCUCUUAAACCAAUCAAAUCCUCUUAAACCAAUCAAAUCCUCUUAUACCAAUCAAAUCCUCUUAAACCAAUCAAAUCCUCUUAUACCAAUCAAAUCCUCCUAAACCAAUCAAAUCCUCUUAUACCAAUCAAAUCCUCCUAAACCAAUCAAAUCCUCUUAAACCAAUCAAAUCCUCUUAAACCAAUCAAAUCCUCUCAUAUCUCCAUAAAUGCAUAAGGCAUAGGGUCUACCAGGGCCCAAUCCAUUUAGCAUUGGGCCCUGGUAUUUAUGGGACUACAGAGUCAGAAGACUCCCUUCACCUGGUGGGAGAUGUUGGCUGUCAGAGAUGACCUCAUAGAUAUUAGUUCCCUGGGUUUGUAAACAUAAUAAAUAAUGAGUUCAGAACCCCAGACUGUUGAUAAUGAGUUCAGAACCCCAGACUGUUGAUAAUGAGUUCAGAGCCCCAGAGUAUUGAUAAUGAGUUCAGAACCCCAGACUGUUGAUAAUGAGUUCAGAGCCCCAGACUGUUGAUAAUGAGUUCAGAACCCCAGACUAUUGAUAAUGAGUUCAGAGCCCCAGACUGUUGAUAAUGAGUUCAGAGCCCCAGAGUAUUGAUGAGUUCAGAACCCCAGAGUAUUGAUGAGUUCAGAACCCCAGAGUAUUGAUAAUGAGUUCAGAACCCCAGAGUAUUGAUGAGUUCAGAACCCCAGAGUAUUGAUGAGUUCAGAACCCCAGAGUAUUGAUGUUUUUGUCUUCUCUCUCACUCUCCUGCUCUCUCUCUCCCUCUCUCUCUCUCCCUCUAUCCCUCUCUCUUCCCCUCUCUCCCCCUCUCUCUCCCUCUAUCCCUCUCUCUUCCCCCUCUCUCUCUCCCUCUAUCCCUCUCUCUUCCCCUCUCUCCCCCUCACCCUCUCUCCCCCUCUCACUCCCUCGUUCUGUUUCUUUUACUGUGAAUUUGUGCCUUUUUGUUAUCUUUUCUUCUCUUCCAAUUACACUACAUUGGACAUGUGAAAAAGUCAAUAAAAUACUAAAAAAGA
Long non-coding RNA from Oncorhynchus tshawytscha (Chinook salmon), 2958 nucleotides. The record is from Ensembl. Lineage: Eukaryota; Metazoa; Chordata; Actinopteri; Salmoniformes; Salmonidae.